This is a non-coding RNA of Phoenix dactylifera (date palm), 8032 nucleotides long. Lineage: Eukaryota; Viridiplantae; Streptophyta; Magnoliopsida; Arecales; Arecaceae. The record is from RefSeq and is a predicted model, not a curated record.
CCCUAAUCCCUAAAUCCUAAAUCCUAAAACCCUAAAUACUAAACUCUAAACCCUAAAUCCUAUACCAAAUAAUGAAAGAAUUCUACAGCUAGACAUUCUGCAAAAAUAAAUCUAAACAGCAAAGCAAAUUUAACAAUCUAAUAUUGGACAUCAAAUAACUUGAUGGAAAGUCUAGUCCAAAUUUAUUAGAUUUGUCCUGAUCUUAAUCAUCCCCAAAAAAUCUCACCAAGGAAUGAUUAGUAAAGUACGAGGAAAAGAAAUUGGAGCUAAAUGAAGAAAAUAGAUUAUUGUAGCAGAAUCUGCAAAAAAAAAGGUGGAUAUUUCCAAGCCUUAAGCAGUAUGGAUUGCUGAUCAAUAAAAAUCAUUCAAAACUGUACCGUGUAAAAACUUGAAGAAUGGCGGAGAGAAGUUCUGUACAAUUUGUGGAUAGACAUGCAGCAACUGGUCCCUCACCAGAUUGAUCCAAAGGUCUAGUUGAAUAUAUCUUAGUAUUAUUCUCUCACUAUAAGUUCUAAAAUAAUGUCUCAGUAAGCAAAGAAAACUCGAUUCCACAUUUUCAGGCUUUAGAAAGUGCUGGAAAAGAGCAACCCAAGAAUUUAUUGAACAAGGCUCUUCAUGUGAAUCUAAUCCUAGUGCUCAGAAGAUACAGGGCUUUGCUAGCUCCAAGGAUUGCACAAACUGUUAUAGGAAUGUAUGGUCAGAUUCUUUCUUGUGCCUAUAUUUUUGAUAUGUUUAUAUUUUAGGUGAAAAUAUUUUAGUCUUCUGCAGGACCCAUAAGAACCGCGGGAAGAGAAUGGGAGGGGGAGGGGUUAUAGCAAGGAUAUUCCGUGCUCAGCUCAUGAUUUAUUCACUUAUGUCAACUCCUCUCUCUUGAUUAGAACAAUGUAACUAGACGAAAUUUCAAGGUCAAAAUCUCCAUAAUUAUUGAUUCAGUAAAACAUUAAAAUGAAGGAAAGAUACAGGAGGGAAGAAAAUGUCUAGGAGGGGUUAUUAUUUAAUGAGAAGAAUAAACUUUGAGAAAAAUUACAUGCUAUUGCCUAGAAAAGAUACAGGCCCUAGUAACUAUAUGUAGUUUACAUAUAUAUAUAUAUAGAUUGCCUAUAUAUAUAUAUAUAUAAAACACCCUCGAGGGACUGUGGUUAUUAUUAUUUUUUUUGUGUGUGUCUGCAUGGAGUGGGAGUGUGGUUGGGUUGUGGGGGAAGGUGUAGCAAUUUAGCUCUAAAGACUAGAUAUGAAGGCUUUUGCACAAGGCCGAUCCUAUUCCAAGGUACUUGGCUCUUAAUCCAAUUUAGCUUCACAAACCUCCAUGUUAUGUGCUUAUUGUCAUGCUGCCUUUGACAUCACCACAGUCAGAGAGCGCAUUGAUGAAAAUCAGCAAAGACAUAACAUAUAGAGGAGGUUAUUGACUACUUCAGAAAGCACCAAGUUGGUCUGUGUUUUGUUUUCUUGUGUUCUUUAUUAGAACAUGUAUAUCUAUGUAGCUCUUUCCCAUGAUCAACAUAAAGAAUGUGCCUACUGUGUUGGAGCUUGCAUAGGACUUGCUCGUGUACAAUUCAAAGAGGUAUGGCAUCAGGAUAUUCCUUUAUGUUCUAUUCGACUCGAGUUUGGUUGGGAUCAACUCAUGAUGUAUUAGAGUCGACUCUGUAAUGUCCGGGCCCAAUACAGACCGGGCCCAAUACUUUUAGCGCCCAGUUGGAGAGUAUUUGGGCCAGGUGGUUAGUGGGCCAUACUGGCCCAUGGAGAGCAGCCCAUGGAGGGCUGCCAUCUUCCGCCUAAGGGUUGAAAGGACAGGACCCUAGCUGGCUAUCGGAGAGAAGGCCUUAACCAUGCAAAACAGGAGUCUGCCGCCUCUUCACCCUCGGUUAAAGGAGCAUUGAGCUAGCCUGAGGGGGGGCAGCUAGUGGCUCCCGGAGCAAGGGUGAAAGAGAGGAUGCCACCUCUCCAAGGGGUCAAAUCCUAAUCCACACUAUAUAACCCUUAAGCUUGCUAACCCACUGUUACUAUACCCUCUUAACCUCUAACCCUCUGGAAUACUGCACCAGAGAGCCAGACCUUCGAGCUGGAGGCCAAAAGAACCCUGAAGUCCAAGGAGAGGGAGGAGGGAUUUCGUGAAGGUGAUACUGCCCGACUGCAACCGGCCAAAGCAAGGUAAAGGCCACUGUGAAUAAGGUUUUAAGUAAGAAAAGGGGUGGAGAAACCCCUCUGUGGGGUGUUAUCCUCUCUGUUUCAACAAUGAAACAGAGGGGAGAUCGGCACAGGGGAGAAGACCGGCACGAGGGGAGACGGGAGAAGGGCCACAGGCCGGACCCACAGGCCGUGGGCCGGCCUGAGAACGGCCCAGGCCCGACGUCCACCCGGGCCGAGCCCAACUGGACUCGGCCUGCGGGUGAUAGGGCACCGCAGACCCGGCUGCAGCUACCCUAGGGCUCAGGGGUGGCCACGGGCCGCUGGGUCUGGCCGAGUCGGCAACAGACGCGGCCACAGGGCCGCCAGCCCCAGCCGAGCACCCACCUCUUCUCCGGUGAAGAGGUGGUGGUGCUAUUUUUUUUAAAAAAGAAAAAGAGAAGAGGGGAAACGGAAGCAGAAGAACAAAAAAAAAUUACCGGACCUUUGAGGCUUCAUCCUCGGACUGCGGCCUUACCUUGCCGUGGUUGGAGCAGGUGAGGACCUUCCGGAGGAGAUCCGGCCUCAACCCCACCUUCCGGCUCUCUUCUCCGGACGGAAGGGCCGGCCUUCCGCCCACCGCUGCCGCCCCGAGGGGAAGCUCCGCCUCGGUCGGUGGAUCGGGAAGCCUCGUCUCCUCGGUCGCCUGCGAGAGGAAAGAGAGGAGCCGGAAGGCGGCAAGGAAAGAGGAAGGGGACCGGAGGAGGCUGGGGGUUUCGGCCGGAGUGGCGAGGGUUUCGGAGGAAACGAGAGAGAGGGAGAGACCGGAGGAGAGAGAAGGGAGCGGGAGACGAAGAGGCCGAAGCCUCUGGAAGAGCCGAGAAGACCCUUAAACGGGUCUGCCUAACGGGUCGGAUCCGGGUUCGGGUCUGAAACCCGUUAGGCCCAAACAGCUUAAAAUGGGUUUGGUAAACCCAAUAAAAAACUGAACCGAGCCCAAUUGAAUGAAAUGGGUUAAAUUAAGCCCAAAUGGCGUCGAGUCUGAACCUAAUUGAGCCUAAAUGAACCUAAUGGAGCAAAUUGGAUUAAAUUUGGACCCAAUUGAGCUGGGUCUGAACCCCAUUCAUGCUAUAGUAAUUUCAGCGGGCCCAAUUAAUUUUAAAUCAGACCCAGUUCAAGCCAAAUUAAAUUGACAGAAGGCCUAAUUAGCUAGAAGAGGCUGGACUUAGUCAUAAAUCAGGCCCAACCCUCUUAUUAAAAGCUCAAUUAAUCCAUGUGGACCCAAAUUGGCUUUAAUUGAAUCCCAAAGGUUUCAAAUUGGAUAAAUUAAAUUGGGCUAAGAUCCUUGGUUGGGAUCCAAGCAAGUCCAUGGUGAGAUGAACUAAAUUCUAUAACAAAUAGAGGAUAAUGUGAUUCUUAUAAUGUGGUUUUAGGAAUCAAAGAUUUGUCACCUGGACUUAAGAAAUUGGAUAACGAAUUUCGGUAAGUAACCUGUCCUAAUCCUAUUAUGGAUCAUGUCAUGUUUAUUAAUAUUUCCUAAGUAUUAUUCAGGUAUAUGCUUCAUGUAUGAUAUGUUAUGAAAAGUAACUUGCCUUAAUCUUUUAUGGAUCAUGUUAUGUUUAUGCCUUCUUACAUGAAUUAACAAGUAUAAAUUAUUUGUCCUCAUCAUGUUGAAUAUGAAUCAUGCAAGCAUCAUGUUUAUUAAGAUUUUUCGAGGUAUUAUUCAUAUACAUACUUCAUGUAUGGCAUAUUAUGAAAAGUAAGUAAAAUGCCUGAUUUCAUAAUUUAUGGUUAUGCAUGCAUCAUGUUUAUACUGAUUUUAAAGUAAUCAUGCAUGCAAAUUAUUUUAGUAAAUUGCAUCUUGCUAUGUGUACUGCUUGCGAGAGGUACUAUGGGCUCUUGAUGCUAUGGGCUGAAUGAAACUGAGCCGGCCUUGCCAGUGGCCGAGAAUGACUGAGUCGGCCCCGCCAGUGGCUGAGAAAAAACUGAGUUGGCCUCGCUAGUGACCGUUAAUGAAUUCGCCCUAGCAUCCAAGAGGUACUAUUAAUGGGCUCAAAGAUGCUACUGAUCGAAUGCAACUGAGCCAGCCUUGUCAGCGGCCGAGAAUGACCGAGCCGGCCCCCACCAGUGGCUGAUAAAAAACUGAGCUGGCCUCGCCAGUGGCCGAUAACGACUUCGCAGUAGCAUCCGAGAGUAUGAACCACGGCAUGCCGGGGGUACGGUUUUCAUAUGUAUAUUCCAUGAAAAUUCUUGUUGACAUAAAAUACUGAUUUGUUUACUCAGCAUAAAUAUUUUGUCAUGAUAAAUUGUUAGAUAAUAUACAUGUCAGCUUCUCAAACCCUGUUUAAACAUGUUUAGCAUUUUAGUUGAUCCGAUAAGAUUUUGCAGGAUUACUUACUGAGCCGUGUAGCUUAUACCCGUUUAUUUACAUUUUCUUUCAGAUGCUCACCAGUGAUCGUCAUCCGACGUAUUUUUCUUUUGCAACGAGGCUUCUUUAUUUUUGGGUUCAACUGCAUCUCAAAUUGGUAUACUGUUUGCCAUAUUUACCUGAAACGUACUCUUGCUCGUAUUUCGGGCAUAAGACACAUCCUGACCCGCAUGCGCUCGCUCCAUUCGCCUUCCGAAAGGCACCCCUUGGUGCAACCCCCCUCCUAUAAAUCCCCGUCCCCUCUUUGUCAAACCAUUCUUCCUUCCAAAGCCCUCCCCUCCCCGUCUUCCCGCUUCUUCUCCUCCGCCUCCUUUCAUUCGAAGCCAUCCCUCUUUCCUUCGAACACUAUAAAUGAAACCCUAAUUCCCCUCGCUUCCAUUGCCCCCAUCCUCCUAGAAGGAGAGCGGCCCCUUUGUCCAAACCCCCUCCUAUAAAUUUCUAUCCCCUCCUUCUCAAAACCUUCUUCCUUCCAAAGCCCUCCCCAUCUUCCCGCUGCUUCUCCUCCUCCGCGUCCGUUCUCUGGAAGCCAUCCCUCCUUCCUUCAAACCCUAUAAAUGAAACCCUAACCCCCCUCGCUUCCAUUGCCCUCAUCCUCUUAGAAGGAGAGCAUUUGAUAGCUCUGUCACUGCGGGAUCAUGGCGGCCUCGAGAGACGUCCAAGAGAUCAUCUCCAAGAUCUCCUCCGACAAGGCCAUGGGCCGCGACGUGAGCUCUGCAAUUGCUUGCCCAAACCCUCAACCUAAUGGCUUCUUCUUGUGCUCCUUUUUUCUUUCCUUAUCCUUUUCCGGGUUCUUGAUUUAUUCUUGAUUGCAAUUUUCUCAUUCUUCGAUGGUUUCCAAGAAGGGAUCAAGCUGUUGAAUAGCUGACUGGAGGACGAGAGAUCGAUCAGUUUCUGUAGGCUACUCGGUGAGAACACCAUCAGGAUCAAGCCCAAUGAGAUCCCUCAUGCUGAUACAUGGCCUUUUCUCAUUAUAUUGCUGACGAAGUGCAUUGAUUGGAGAUCUCCAUGAGCAAGAAACGUCCACAGAAAAAACUAAUACUGGCAAAGACUCUUCACACUGCCAUCCAAUGUGCUGAGGAUCAGGAGCUAUCAGGUCAGUAAAAGAUUGACGCGACAUGUGUAUAUUUGUUAUACUGGUCAUGAAACUUCUUCCUUUGUUUGUUGCUGCUAAUAUUGUUUCCGGAUCAUGAGUUAGUUCCAUAAAUUACCUUUGUUCCCUCCUCUCACCACCACCACCCUCCUCUAAUGCUAUCUUGCAUUUUUAGUUGUGUACUAGGAAAAGAAUUAUGGCAAAAUAUGUUCCAGCAGGUCAACUUUUAUGUAAUUGGAUUGCUGUAUGCAUCUUCCAACUUAGUAAUAUGGAUAAUUCCAUGAUCAGGAGCCACUGUAGCUGACAUAUGUGGAUUAAUUGGAAUAGAAUUGUCAGUAUAUCAUAGUACACGUACUUUUAGACCUACACAGGUUGCUUCUUCAGGACAUAAGUCAUUAGCUAGUCACUCGUUCUCUUCCAGUUUUAGUAGGAGAUUCUAUGCCUCUCAAAGCCAAUGUACCAUGUAGGCAGUUUUGAAAGGAAACUCCAUUAUAAAGGUUCUUAUGAUAAACAGUGAUCGGUACCUGAUGGUCACCACAACUACAAUCUCCAAGAAUUGCUGAAUGACCACUAUAACCACCAUCUCAACGGACACCAGGCUAUCAAUGCUGAAAUGAUUGACAAAGGAUCACUGGAACCACCACUAUCCCACCUUAACCACCAUGUCAGAAGACACAAGGGGAUCAUUAACCAAUGAAUUGACAAGUAACCGCCUCAAUCUUGAUCCCAACUGUUGUAGCGAGUGUCAAAAUUUUCGUGUCAAGGUUUUGACUGAAAGUAAGCAGCAGGUAGUGAUGUAGUUGCGAUGAACCUUAUGGUUCUUAAUUUUCAUGUCUUUAAACUACAUCAAAAUUUUGUUUGGUUUGGACCGAAUGUAAGCAGUAGACAGUGAUGUACUUUGAUGGACCUUAAUUUUUCAGAUUUGCAGGACCUUAAUUUUUUACUGUAGCAAUUUUCUUUUGUCUAGAUUUUCAUGUCUUUAAAAUCAAAAUUUUGUAGGAAAAAAACUCCUAUUUUCUGUUGUUAAACAUCUAUUUAAUCAUGUAUGGGAUGUUAUAAAAGAUGCUCCUAGCUUUCAGUCAGAAUACAGCAGCAUCCUACGCCAUCUUCUAACUGUUGAAGAUUACCGCUAUCAAAUGAGGAGGCCAGUUUAUUGCAGUCUAGUAGAUCUAGUCAUAAAUUACGUAGGACUGUCCAUCGACAUGAAAUCUAAUAGUCAUUCUAGCUCCAAAGAGGAAGCCUUCCGCUAUAUCUUGUCUCUUCAUGCCCUCCUGGAAAACCCAUUAGGUGAUUUUCCGGAUAACAUCUGGGAGGAUCCUGUUAAGGGGUUUAUUGAAAUAUUUUCACAGAUUAGGUAAGCAUUGUGUGAUUGGUUUAUGAGGCAUGCAUACGAUCUUGUUACAUUCAGAAGCUGCAUCAUUUAUGAAGAAUUAAGAGGAGAUGGCUUUCAAGAGUUGUAUUUAUUGUUUCCGUGCUUCCUUAUGAGUAAGGUACUGUAGCUUUUUGAAGGAUGAGAAAAAGGAUUGCAAAUUUAUAUAAUGCCUUUCAUUUGUGGAACUUUGCUAGGGAUGAGGGUAAGUUCUCACACAAGCUAAUGGAAUGCAUUAAUACCUAUUUGCUAAAUGAUGGCCCAAAUCUUGGAUAUCAAGCCAUGGAAAUUCAUUGUGCUGUACAACAGUAUAUGUUUCGUUAUUGGCUUCCUAGUAACUCGUGAUCGAGGGUUAAAGGUUCCUGCAUGGAUAAGCUCUUUUGUUUUUGGUCUAACUAUAAUGAGAUAUUCCUCUAUUCAUGAAUAUUUUUUCAUUGUAGAACUCAUUCAUUCUUUAUGCAACGGUACAACUAAAGUUCAUCAGGACUAUGUCAGAACGAAGUGUGCUUAUGGAACAACUUCUUGAUGUUAUUUUCAAGGAAUUAGACCAAAGCACUAAUACUGGAGUGAUAUGUCUAGAGAUGAUAAGGUUGGAACUCUGGGAAGCACUCAACAAGGCUUGUAAAAACACUACAAAGACAUCAUAUCAUGAGAAGUGGCUGAAAAUGGAGAAUCCUGAUGCUUGCAUUAAGGAUGGAAUCAUGAAAGGCUCAUGGCUUUGCAUAGGGUCUGGGGGAGGAGCAAAGGAAGGACAAAAGAAGAGCGAUGACAGUUGGGCAGGAUGGUGCUGUGUCUCAAGAGUUGACUUCUGGUUUAGGGGGCUUGUCACCUGGGUCAAUGGUUAAGAGCUGAGAGAGCAUCUAGAGUUGGGUCUUUGCUUAUGUGCAUGCAAUAUUAUGUACGUAUAGAUAAGCUUCUUCUCUCAGCCAUCUGCAUAUAAUGGUUAAAUUAUUUCAGUUGCUAGAUUUCGAUAUGAAGGUUGUAGAUUUAUCUUUAUGAGAAAUAUUAACAUUUGAGAAGUGAAUAAACAUUUCAACUGCAA